RNAcentral lists this transfer RNA (77 nucleotides) under Candidatus Woesebacteria bacterium RBG_16_34_12. RNAcentral's name for it is "tRNA-Val". It matches the Rfam family "tRNA". From Rfam's summary of the family: Transfer RNA (tRNA) molecules are approximately 80 nucleotides in length. Their secondary structure includes four short double-helical elements and three loops (D, anti-codon, and T loops). Further hydrogen bonds mediate the characteristic L-shaped molecular structure. tRNAs have two regions of fundamental functional importance: the anti-codon, which is responsible for specific mRNA codon recognition, and the 3' end, to which the tRNAs corresponding amino acid is attached (by aminoacyl-tRNA synthetases). tRNAs cope with the degeneracy of the genetic code in two manners: having more than one tRNA (with a specific anti-codon) for a particular amino acid; and 'wobble' base-pairing, i.e. permitting non-standard base-pairing at the 3rd anti-codon position. The record is from RNAcentral. Lineage: Bacteria; Candidatus Woeseibacteriota.
GACCGCCUAGCUCAGUUGGUUAGAGCGCUUCGCUUACAUCGAAGAGGUCAGGGGUUCAAAUCCCUUGGCGGUCACAA